CUACGGGACGCAGCAGUGGGGAAUAUUGGACAAUGGGGGAAACCCUGAUCCAGCAAUGCCGCGUGUGUGAAGAAGGCCUGCGGGUUGUAAAGCACUUUCGGUUGGGAGGACUGCUUCUAGCACUAAUAUUGUUGGAAGUUGACGUUACCUUCAGAAGAAGCACCGGCUAACUCCGUGCCAGCAGCCGCGGUAAUACGGAGGGUGCAAGCGUUAAUCGGAAUUACUGGGCGUAAAGCGCGCGUAGGCGGCUAGAUCAGUCGGGUGUGAAAGCCCCGGGCGUAACCUGGGAACUGCAUCCGAUACUGUCUAGCUUGAGUACAGGAGAGGAGAGUGGAAUUCCACAUGUAGCGGUGAAAUGCGUAGAUAUGUGGAGGAACACCAAUGGCGAAGGCAGCUCUCUGGCCUGAUACUGACGCUGAGGUGCGAAAGUGUGGGGAGCAAACAGGAUUAGAUACCCGGGUAGUC
Molecule: ribosomal RNA, 465 nt
Filed under: uncultured bacterium
Lineage: Bacteria
Description: partial 16S ribosomal RNA
Rfam family: Bacterial small subunit ribosomal RNA
Source: RNAcentral